GGCCUAAUGGUCUAGUAGCAUGAUUCUUCCUUUGGGAUGUGGCGUUAGCUACGAAAUUGGAAGAGGUCCUGGGUUCAAUUCCCAGUUGGGCCC
Molecule: non-coding RNA, 93 nt
Organism: Sphaerobolus stellatus SS14
Lineage: Eukaryota; Fungi; Basidiomycota; Agaricomycetes; Geastrales; Sphaerobolaceae
Source: Rfam